This 210-nucleotide long non-coding RNA is filed under the name Elaeis guineensis (African oil palm). Its description in RNAcentral is "long non-coding RNA (EGUI_LNC020996)". The record is from RNAcentral. Lineage: Eukaryota; Viridiplantae; Streptophyta; Magnoliopsida; Arecales; Arecaceae.
AGAUGACGGCAGCGGUGGGGGCCACCCGUGGAGAGGCUGUCUCUUUGUGGUACACCGUAGGUGGUCGGCACAACUGGGUCCGCUUUCUGGGUCUGGGUUUCUGGUCCCGCUUGGGAUGGCGACAGGUCCUCGGUCGGCGCGGGGCCCCCGCCGCAUCGGAUUCAAUAAAGAUUUUGUCGCGUAGCGGCUAAGGCUUCUCGCCUGGUCGGC